RNAcentral lists this long non-coding RNA (449 nucleotides) under Homo sapiens (human). Its description in RNAcentral is "non-protein coding lnc-CRYBA1-3:1". The record is from RNAcentral. Lineage: Eukaryota; Metazoa; Chordata; Mammalia; Primates; Hominidae.
CUCCCAGGUUCAAGUGAUUCUCCUGCCUCAGCCUCCCGGGUAGCUGGGAUUAUAGGCAUGUGCCACCAUGCCUGGCUAAUGUUUUUGUUUUUUUAGUAGAGACAGGGUUUCACCAUGUUGGCCAGGCUGGUCUUGAACUCCUGACCUCAGGUGAUCCACCCACCUUGGCCUCCCAAAGUGCUGGGAUUACAGGCGGGCAUGAGCCACCACACCCGUUAAUGUGAAGAUAGUAUAUACUGGGUUGUUUAAAUAGGAUAAUGCUUGCUAAGUACUUAACUUACUGCCUGAUACAUGCUAACACUCAAUAAAUUGUUGGCUAUCACACACUAGCUGCCUAAUAUAAAUGUUUAUGAGUACAUUGAGAUAAUUUUUUUUUUUUUUUUUUUGAGACAGGGUCUCACUCCUGUCACCCAGACUGGAGUGCAGUGGCACGAUCUCGGCUGCCUGCA